AAGAAUGAGGCAGCAGGACAGAGAAGGACGGAGACCCGGGGAGGGCAAGAUGUCCUCCUUUCCUCAGAGGAGAAGGACCCUUCACGGUGGUGGAAAAUAAAAGCACAGAAAGAGCCAAGAACAGAAGAUGUGACAUAUAUAUCAACCCAAGCCCAUCUCUACUAUAACUGAACUAACCUGAAACUACAAUCAAGAUUUCUAUUGCAAGAACAAAAAGCUAAAGGACUAUCCAGAAUGGAUCUUGCUGCCAACAGAGGACUAAACUUAUUACUCAAUUUCCUGCUUAUUUUCUUGGUUCUUGUUCUCAUGUUCAUCCUUGUGAAGCUCAUGUGAAUUGCUUUUGUACUUGUAUCCCACUAUGGUCACUUGAGAAUUGAAACCAUAUGAACCUAAACAAAGACCCCCACAACCCAAUAAACUGCAGUUCAGGAAAGCAUCACUUUUAUGAGACAACUUAAUAACACCAAUUUGCUGGUGUAUAUUUUUAAACCACAAUACAGCAAGCGGAGAACUUAAAAGAUUCAAAGCCUUUACUGGAGCGGCUACACCCUGACACUAUGGAAGAAGGUGAACUGUAGCACCGACACCAGCACGAUAUACCAUUUACUUGUAUUUGUAUGUGCAUCAAAGAAUAGACAGAUUGUAAACUUCUAACAUGACAGACUCUGCAAACAGAGCAGAAGGAAGAAAAAAAACCUAAACUAAACCCUGCAGUUCUAGAACCCCAAAAUUAGAGAAAGCCAUGGCUUAUAAGAAAGCAGCAAGCAUGAAAAUAAUUACAGGAAUAGAGAGAUGCAACUGACUUGAAGAAAGCAAGGAGUUCUGGGACUUUGAUUUGGGGACAGGGAAAGAGAAAUAAGGGGGAAUAAGAAGGGGGAAAACUUUUACGAAUCAAUCCUAUGCACUCAAAACCAAGACUAAAUUCACACAUGCCACUUGAAACACUAUUCAGGCCUUUUCUCACUUUUGUUACGCAUAUUAAAAAAACAGAAAGGCACCUUUAAAUGUGCUCAUAUUGACUUUCUGAAUUUAUUGAUGACCAUAAAGGAAAGUUGAUUUACAGUUAUUUUUUUCAUUUCUUUCUGUGCUUUAUGAUGCAGAUGUUCAUUUCAUCUUAGUUUCACAGUGUCUGAAGGGGCUUACCCAAUUGCAGCCUUAAACUACUUUAUAGUCUCCUUCUAUCAGAGUUUAUUCAACUUUACCAUAUUAGCCACACACCUUUAAUAAAAGAAUAUCGCGUUUCCCUUAGAUAAAUAACCUCAUAACUACCAUACUAAUUUUCAGGUCAUUCUUAGUUAAAUAUUUAUCUCCAGAGGACCCUUCAACUCAGGUGAAAAUAUUGUGCAGGAGAUGUGACAACACAUAGACCUAUCUAGGGUUCUUUUAUCUCUGUUGCUUUUUACUGCUGCUUUUCUUAAUUAAUGAACUACAGUUUUGUCAGCUUAUUUAUACAUCUAUAUUUCACACAGAAUAAAGAGAACUUACAGCAAGAUCUUUACA
Eublepharis macularius is the source of this 1500-nucleotide long non-coding RNA. RefSeq lists it as uncharacterized. The transcript is spliced from 2 exons. The record is from RefSeq and is a predicted model, not a curated record. NCBI's taxonomy places the organism in Eukaryota, Metazoa, Chordata, Lepidosauria, Squamata, Eublepharidae.